CUCUGGACCAGACGCCGCCUGCACGGGUGGGGACGCUGGUCGCUGCCGGGGGCAAGUCUGCCGACUCCAGAAAGAAAGGCGAAAGAAUGUGUGUAGACCCGGGCAUCCUUGGUCGUCAGCAUGUUUGCUUUAUUUAAUUACAGAUGUUCAGGCUGCUGUCAACACCCGACAAUUUUUUUUGGUCAUUUCAUUCCCUAGAGAUUGUGAAGCUAAGUGCUGUGAGGGAAACCAGAGGCAGCUGAGAUGUCGUGGAAGUAACAGCGAAUGAAGCCAGGAUGCUGGAUUCUGACCUUGGAACUGUUCUGAGAGGCUGUUUGAUGCAAGACUCCCACCUGCGGGUAUCAUAGUCCAGGGUAAGGCCAUUGGGCCAACCCAGGUCUGUGUUG
This 386-nucleotide long non-coding RNA is filed under the name Homo sapiens (human). RNAcentral's name for it is "HSALNT0174998". The record is from RNAcentral. Lineage: Eukaryota; Metazoa; Chordata; Mammalia; Primates; Hominidae.